UACGUAGGGAGCAAGCGCUAUCCGGAAUCAUUGGCCGUAAAGGGUGCGUAUGCGGAUUACCAGGUCACAAGUGAAAGACUUUGGCUCAACCUAUGUAAGGUUUUGAAGCUGUUAGGUCUCUGAUCGGGGAGAGGAAAGCGGAAGUCCUAGCGGAUGGGUGAAAUGCGUAGAUAUUAGGAGGAACACCAUGGGGACAAGGACGACUUUCAUGGACUGUCCUCUUACGCUGUAAGCGCGAAAGCGCGUGAGAGCGAACAGGAUUAAAUACCCUGGUAGGCCACGCCGUAAACGAUGAAUACUAGGUGUCGGGGGUCGAACCUCGGUGCCGCAGCUAACGCAUUAAGGAUUCCGCCUGGGGAGGACGCACGCAAGUCUGCAACUCAAAGGAGAUGACGGGGACCCGCACAAGCAGCGGAGCAUGUGGUUUAAUUCGAAGCAACGCGAAGAACCUUACCAGGUCUUGACAUCUAUCUGACCGGUCCUUAGCCGGACCUUUACCUUCGGGUACAGAUGAGGCAGGUGGUGCAUGGUUGUCGUCAGCUCGUGUCGUGAGAUGUUGGGUUAAGUACCGCAACGAGCGCAACCCUUAUCUUUAGUUGCCAUCAGGUAAUGCCGGGCACUCUAGCGAGACUUCCGGCGCCAAACCGGAGGAAGGUGGGGAUGACGUCAAAUCAUCAUGCCCCUUACGAUCUGAGCUACCCACGCGCUACAACGGUCGAUACAACGGGAAGCGAAAGGGUGACCUGGAGCAAAUCCUUCAAACUCGAUUUCAGUUCGGAUCGGAGUGUGCAACUCGACUCCGUGAAGCUGGAAUCGCUAGUAAUCGCGCAUCAGCCAUGGCGCGGAGAAUACGUUCCCGGGCCU
Molecule: ribosomal RNA, 864 nt
Filed under: uncultured bacterium
Lineage: Bacteria
Description: SSU rRNA
Rfam family: Bacterial small subunit ribosomal RNA
Source: RNAcentral